CAGGACUCGCAAAGACUCCUAACAACCCCUGUGAAACUUCACUACAAGCACGUUGCUUUCGGCGGGUGUCUCGGCGGAAGGGUCCCCACUGGGGAACCUGCGCAGGGGCGCGAAAGACCCGCCGGCAGCCUACUAUAACUCUGUCUCUUUUGCGUUGGCAUCAUCGAGGAAAAAAGCAAAACAAGUUAA
Molecule: unclassified non-coding RNA, 189 nt
Filed under: soil metagenome
Description: partial internal transcribed spacer 1
Source: RNAcentral